UGAGCAACCUGCCCCUGACUCUGGGAUAAACCCCGGGAAACCGGAGCUAAUACCGGAUACGACACGCGAAGGCAUCUUCUGCGUGUAGAAAGAUUUAUCGGUCAGGGAUGGGCUCGCGGCCUAUCAGCUUGUUGGUGGGGUAACGGCCCACCAAGGCGACGACGGGUAGCCGGCCUGAGAGGGCGACCGGCCACACUGGGACUGAGACACGGCCCAGACUCCUACGGGAGGCA
RNAcentral lists this ribosomal RNA (233 nucleotides) under uncultured bacterium. RNAcentral describes it as "partial 16S ribosomal RNA". It matches the Rfam family "Bacterial small subunit ribosomal RNA", at positions 118 to 350 of the family's 1533-position model. The record is from RNAcentral.